UAAACAUCAUCUCUAUAUUGGUUAAGGAAGAUAAGAAUACUAAGCACAUUUCUAAGUAUAUUCAUUUUCAAUCUUUGUAAUUCCUCUCAAAUUGUUCUUCUUUUACUGUAGUAUCUUUCAAGACAUAAACCUAUAUGGUUGAUAUUAUGAGAAAUUAUGAGAAAUUAUUAACAUUAGUGGAAAAUGUAAUUGGAUAUUAUGAGAAAUUAAAAAGACUUUUGAAUUUAGGAAAAUUAAUUUAAGGAGUGGAUUAAAUUGUAAACGUAUAAGAAAUGUAGGCCAUAGUGUAAAAAUUAAAAAUAUAAAAAGACUAGAUUAUAUGGAUGAGAAAAAGAGAAAGAAUUAGAAGAGAAAUUUAACCAUAAUAGUACAUGGAGAUGUGGUUGAGAUUGAAAAUGAAUUGGCACCAUUUAAUUGUAAACAUUUUUAGUGCAUAGAAAGAUGUUGAAAGAAAAAAGGAAAAACUAAAAUCUAUUCAUCAUCAUUUUUCAAGCUUUCCCUUCACACCCCUCUCUGUAACACCCCUAACCUACACUCGUCACCAGAACGGGGUUACAGGAUGUUAGUGGAGUUUACAGAAUAAUUACACAUAAUUCCACUAUUUGCUCAUAUUCCAGUCAAGCUGUCUUCUCGAGUCAUAGUUACUAAAUUAUUUAUAUCUGGAGUUACAGAACUCCAAAUUAAUAUUUGCUAAUUUUACUUGAAACUAGACUCAUAUAUCUUCUUAUCAUAAAAUUUUCAGAAUUUAUUUAUUAGCCAAUAAGUACAGUUUAUUCUUCAAAGUUACCCCUGAUCUGCUAUUUGACAGCUUUGACCUUUCUUUACUAAAAAUUAAUUAUCUCCUCAUAUGAUAUUCGGAUGAUAUUCCCGUUUGUUUCUUUUGAAAAUAGACUCAUUAAGGAUUUUAAUAAUAUAAAUUAUAACCCAUAAUUAUUUUUUUAUAAUUUUUAAUUAUUUUCCCAAAUCAAAACAGGGGAUUCCAAAAUCAUUCUGACUCUGUCUCACAAAAAUUCCAGUAUCUAAUAAAAUAAUAUUCUUUUGCUUGCACUGUUUCUUCUAUGUAAAACUAGACUCAAUAAGCUUUAAUUUCAUAUUUUUUUCAACCUCUAAGUCGAUUUUCACUAUUUUUUGUGAUUUUUAAAAUUUGGACUACUGCUGCUAUCCAAAAGUAUUUUAGUGAAAAUGUUGAUAACUAAGUUUAUAACACCUUCACUUCCUUUUUAUUAAACCCUAUACAUGCCAUAUAAACCUUAAAAUGCACAAUAAAAUUUAUCGAAUUAAUCUGGAUAGUGUGCCCUGUUGUGUUGCUCCGAUCCACCGAUUUCACGUCAAUCUACAAAAAACAUUUAACACACAGGAGUAAGCUUAUGAAAGCUUAGUAAGUUCAUAGGCAUAGAAAAUAAUUCUUACCGAAAAUCUUAUAACAAUUAUACAAUACAUAAUUUCACCAAUUCUUUCUGUCAAUCACAAAAUCAAUGACAAAAAUCACUUGAUUGAGCUCAAUAUCAAUAAAUAAUCAAUUUCAAUCUCUUGGGUCCAUUUAUCGCUUACUUUUCUUAUCAAUUUAAGGAACGGUUACGGAAUUGAGUACUUCGUUUUCACAAUGCUAUAGUAUAACUAUGGUCUUGCACAUAAUCAUAUAUCACACAUCGAAGCCAUAGUCCAGCUAUGAUCUUAUAUGGAAGCACAUAUCACAUAGAUGCCAUAGCCCAGCUAUGGUCUUAUACGGAAGCACAUAUCACACCGGUACCAUAUCCCAGCUAUGGUCUUAUAUAGAAAUCACAUAUCACACCGAUACCAUAUCUCAGAUAUGGUCUUAUAUAGAAGCACAUAUCACAUAUUGCCAUGGUCCAACCAUGGUCUUUUCCGUCAAUGCGUAUUAGUCACUGAACGAUAAUACUCAAUCCGAUGUUCCACUAAAUUAGAACUUUAUUCAAAUAUUCAUACUUUCACAAUUAUCUCAGUUUAAUAACAUUCAUAUACAAUAACAUACCAUAGCAUUCAUUAAUUUUCAUAAAAAUUCAUUAAAUUUAGCCAUAUGAACUUACCUACGCAAAUUCGCAAAAGUCGUAUAAGUUCAGGGAUUAAUCGACUAUUUUCUUUUUUCCACGAUUCACUUCGGGUUCUUGAUCUAUAAUUGUAAAAUUAUUUAUUUAUUAGCAUUCAUUUCAAUUUUACUCUUCUUCACAGUUUAUACCCUUUAAUUCCUAAAAUUACACUUUUACCCCAAAAUUUAUAGUUUUUACAAUUUAGUCCCUACUUGUUUAACUCAUCAAUUGAGCUAAUUUUUUUCUCAAUUAACACUUUAUUUAUUCAUUCUAAGCUACUAAAAAAAACUUUUAAAAUCAGAAUUUCAACACCAAACCUUAAUUCACAACUUUUUUACAAUUAGGUCCUAAAAUCAAUUUCUAUCAAAAUCACUUAAUAAAAUCAUCAUAUAAUAAAAUAAGAACUUAAAUUCCAUAAAAAUUCACCAUAAACAUACAGCACUUAUUCAUGGUAACUUUUAAAGUCACCCAUAAAAUCAAAAGCUAAUGAAUUCAAUAGGUGGACAUAAUUGUAAAAGUCACAAAAACAUAAAAAUUACUAAGAAAAAGUAAAAAUUGAACUCACAUGGUGCAAAAAUAUGAAAAACCAGCAUAGGAGACCUGCUAUGACGUUUUUUUUUUUGGCUGAGAAAGAUGAAGAAAUGUCUAGAUUUUUCAAUUACAUCAUUUUUAACUACUAACUUUUAUUCUAUUUCCAAUUUUGCCCUUUGUUCACAUUGAUUUCUUGCUUAUUUAAUACCCAAACCG
Molecule: long non-coding RNA, 2795 nt
Filed under: Gossypium barbadense (sea-island cotton)
Lineage: Eukaryota; Viridiplantae; Streptophyta; Magnoliopsida; Malvales; Malvaceae
Description: long non-coding RNA (GBAR_LNC008377)
Source: RNAcentral